Leopardus geoffroyi (Geoffroy's cat) is the source of this 1684-nucleotide long non-coding RNA. RefSeq lists it as uncharacterized. The record is from RefSeq and is a predicted model, not a curated record. The transcript is spliced from 3 exons. Lineage: Eukaryota; Metazoa; Chordata; Mammalia; Carnivora; Felidae.
CCUGGCCCUGAACCCCAGCCCAGACCCUGGCCCUGAUCCCGGCUGAAGCCCGGCCCGGACCCCAGCCCUGAUCCCGGCCAGACCCUGGCCCAGGCCCCUCCAAAGCCCAACACAAACCAUGAACUCGGCUGCCCCCUCACAGGUCACAAGAGCCCAGAGUCGCGAGCCUGCUUGCCUUCUCUGCUCAGGGUCGCAGUGCUGCUGGGGGAGGACCGCCGGCUGAGCCGAGGCCUGGCCUCGGGCCCUCCAGGCUGCUCACCCCCUCCCACCCUGCACUUCCUGCUCCCAGAGGCUGCUCCAAAGACAACGCCUCGACCGGUGCCAUGGCCGAGAACACCUGCACCGUCCGCGUGACUGAGCCCAGGCGAGGCCUCCGCAUACACCAUCACCACGUGGGGUGCGGAUCAGAGACCCAGUCGUCCGGCGGCUGCCUGAGAUCAAACCUGUCCCCCGCCAGCCUGGAGGGACGUCGCUGUCUCCCGUCUCUCCCUGCCAUCCACCAACGGGGUUGGUUAUAGAUCACACCCAAGGAGCCUGCACCCUCGACCCUCAGGUCUGGCCAACAGAGGGGGAGCCCUAGGAGAAGGGGCAAGUGCCCCAUCAGGAAGGGCGUGGGCGGGGUCGCCUGAAUGACCUCGGAGGGCUUGCGGGCUCCUGGGAGGAACUGAGCCCGUGAGUGCAUUUCAGGGAGACGCAGGUGCUCCUGCCCUGGAGGUGGGAGGUCCAGGGCACCUGCCUCUUGGGGCUUCCCCGCUGACCCUGGGGACCAGGAGAGAGGCUGGGCCCCGAAGAGGGCUCCCGACCCGGCCUGCCCCCGUGUCUUUCCCAGGUGCUUCCAUCCCCAGUCCUGCCCUGCCCCCUGCCCCCUGCCCCGUGUCCUCCCCCCGACCCCUCCCUCCUGCACCUCUGCUCUCCGCUGACUCCUCUGGCGGCCCGGGGAUCCCAGCGAGACUGUGCCCCAACCCCUCCCAUCUGGAGGUGCAGGCCGGCUCUGGCUGCCCAAGUGAGGGCAUCUGGCCCCAUCAGAAAGUUCCACAGAGGGACAGCUGACCUGACCUCCUGGCCUUGACCUUGGCCUUGACCGUGACCUUGGUCCAAGUCCCAGUCCUGCUGCACUCACCCCAGAUUCGGGGGCUCCCCGGGGCCAUCGACCACCUCUCCCCGGCCAGGAAGGGCAGUUCCCCCGACACCACGGGCUCGGGGCCUGCGAUGUCCUUACACAGGGCUCUGCGAGCCCCGCCCGCUACUGCGACCUACUUUCCUUCCCGGCCCCAUAAAAUCCAGCUAGGACGUCCCCCAGGCUCACGGCUGUGACAGACAGACCCUCGGACGGACAGGCAUGUGGCAGAGAACGAGGGUGGGGGCCCCCAGCGCCUGCCCUGGGCUGCGGGGACUCGAUCCGCAGUGAUUUCCUGCCCAGACUUGGACUCCAGACCCUGAGGGGACAAGCCUCCUCCCCCGACCCCGUUUCAAAACCCAGAGAUGGCCAUCAGACAACUCAAUCGGAAAAAGAUCAAUCGGAAAAAUCAGCCCGGAAUCAUGCUCACCACAACGUUACCAGGGGUUGUUUCUGGGUAAUAAUAUUUUGGGCAAUCUUUUUUGAGUUUACUUAUUUUGAGAGACAGAGAGAUGGGGUGGGGGGAAGAGGGGAGAGAGAGAGAGAGAGAGAGAGAGGGAGAGAGGG